This 240-nucleotide ribosomal RNA is filed under the name uncultured bacterium. RNAcentral's name for it is "partial 16S ribosomal RNA". It matches the Rfam family "Bacterial small subunit ribosomal RNA", at positions 96 to 334 of the family's 1533-position model. The record is from RNAcentral.
UGGCGAACGGGUGAGUAACGCGUGAGGAACCUGCCUCAAAGAGGGGGACAACAGUUGGAAACGACUGCUAAUACCGCGUAAGCCCACGGGUCGGCAUCGACCUGAGGGAAAAGGAGCAAUCCGCUUUGAGAUGGCCUCGCGUCCGAUUAGCUAGUUGGUGAGGUAACGGCCCACCAAGGCGACGAUCGGUAGCCGGACUGAGAGGUUGAACGGCCACAUUGGGACUGAGACACGGCCCAG